CGGUUCCCUGCAUGCUCGUGCAGGGAUCAAAAGGGAACCCGGUGCAGAUCCGGGACAGCCGCCACUACUGUGAGAGGGCACGUUCCAAGCGCAAUCCCAUUGGGCCUCGGCCUGAGAAGGGGCUUGGAGAGGACGGAUGCGUUCAACCCUCAAGCCAGGAGACCUGCCCCUCG
This 173-nucleotide non-coding RNA is filed under the name bovine gut metagenome. The record is from RNAcentral.